Long non-coding RNA from Dermacentor albipictus, 2186 nucleotides. RefSeq lists it as uncharacterized. Lineage: Eukaryota; Metazoa; Arthropoda; Arachnida; Ixodida; Ixodidae. The record is from RefSeq and is a predicted model, not a curated record.
UACGGCGUGUUGUUAUUGCUCCGUCUUCAACGGUUGUCGUGCGAGCUGCGUCGAUGUGUUUGUUUGACCGUGUGUUAUUAGGUUUGCUGUAAUGAAAUGAGACGUAGUUCGCGAGCACGAAAGUGCCAGAAGAUGGCUUGAGUCUCGCUGUAAGCACGCCGUAUGCGUGGCGCGCCAGCUAAAUGUGGACCAACGAUUUUCAUGCCAUGGAGUGCGUUCCCUUUGUCUCCGCUUGUGUUCGUGGAAAGUUUGGUGGACGGCGCAGAGAAGUAAUGCGUAUUAUUAGCGCGCCUCAGCUCGUCCACUACCCAGUGGCUUGUUUGCUGCAAGUAACAUCGCAGACGCAUCACUGGAAACUUGGAGAGUGCCUUUCGACCUCGUCGUACUGUUGAAACGUGGCGAGGCCGUGACCCACAACAUUAACUACAAGAUCGAGGAGCCCCAAGAAAUGCCGACCCUGUGGAUAUAUGGCUGCAGCAGCAUGGCGUGUGAUCUGGAUCGUCAUGACAGGCUCCACCGUCGCCGUUACUAGACGGACCAAAUGAGGCCAAAAACUAGCCUUUCCUCGCUCCAUUCCUGGGAAGUAAAAUAGCAGGUGGUCAUGUAAGAAUGAACUUGCAACCAUGUGGGCAGUAGCCAAAGCUCCCUACAGUUCAUGCUGGUGGUGGAAUGAUAAGACAAACCGCAAUAUUUAUUUGUUUACUUAUUCACUUAAUAUUUAUUUAUUCAUAUCUCAUGAAUACUGUGCAGUUUUUUUAGCAAGGAGUCAGGUAAAAUAAAGAAAUAUUGUUGCAUCAAAGUAAACGUUAUUUGAAAAAGCAUAAUUCACGUAGCACGAAUUCAUGGAAACUAAAUUUUGAAGAAACAGAGCAGUAAGGUUAACACAUCUUAUAUAACAAAAAAUGAGAUCACAUUUCUGUUGGACCUAAUACCAUAAUUUAAUCUGUCAAAUUAGAGAUACCAUAUGCUGCUCUAAUAUACAAUCACUAAUUUAUGAGUAGAUGCGCGAAACUCUCAAACGUUGCAACAAUUUCAUGCUAGCUGUAAAUUCAUAUAUACAGUUUGUUGACCUUAGACAUAGCAGAUGGAGUCUGCAGAACUAUGAUAUCUCUUUCUGGCACAGAGACGGGCAUUAGUAAGCUUCGUGGUGUUAUUUUUCUUAAACCUGCCAAAUAGUCCUUCCUGCAACAGGUAGAAUUCUCAAAUGCCGCAAACUUAAUUCAAAUUAGUGCUGUGGUUGUCUCAAAAGUAUUUCUGUAUUUUGGAUGUAUUUGAGUAGGAAAAUUUACAGAAUUAACGAACUUGUGCUAGCUCUUUUUUUUAUUUACAGUUGCAAACUAAGUCCUUUUCCUUCAAGUUUUGCUAUUUUCAGCAAAUUUUAAUAAAAAUUGAUGGUGUUAAUGUAAAAACUAUAAUUUAAACAUUUUUAAAUGUAUCAAACCUCAUCAAAUUUGGUUGCAUAGUUGCCGAGAAAAACGAUUUUACUGUUCAUGUGCAUUACAUAGGAGCUCCUGAGCUAGAUCUCUUUUUUAGUCAUUGCGUGUGUCGGUCUGGUUUGUAUUUCUCACCCUAAUUAGAAUAUUGGCUCUGAUCUCAAAAUUGUUUCCCUUACAACGAAAUACAAGCUUUUAAACUUUUUACGAUAUAUGCUGUACUGCUCUAUGAUAACCCCUGUUUGCCACAUUUUUGCAGGGCCUACCAGUGCUAAUUUUACACAUAAACAUAGACUAAAAUGCUGUGUGGUUUCGGUAUAUGGUGUACUUAUCUGUGAAAGCCAUUAUUUGCCACAUUUUUGCAGCGACUGCCAGUGUUAUUUUUGCUCAGACUAAAAUGCUGUGUCGUUUCGUCAGGCUGACACAACAUUGCAGUGCACAUUCAUAUCAGUCUAUUUUCAGGCUUUAGUAUCCAAACAUUUAAUGUGCACUGCUGGAACAGGCACUCCUUUUGCAGUUUUAAUGGUAUGGUUUCUUGUCCUAGUCAAGCCUGUUAUUGCGAGGUGUCAACUGUAAUCAAGUCUGCCACUGAUUCUUUUACCUCAUGUUUCGUGUGUUUGCACCACCAGCUUGACCUGAGAAGCAUGUUGGCAGCUACAGUUUGUGUGUUGCAAGUUCUAGUCUGAAGUGUGUAUGUCACAUAUAUGAAGCAUGUAUCUAGUCUGAAGUGCAAUAAACAUUUCAAACUGAAUA